Molecule: non-coding RNA, 24 nt
Filed under: Arabidopsis thaliana (thale cress)
Lineage: Eukaryota; Viridiplantae; Streptophyta; Magnoliopsida; Brassicales; Brassicaceae
Source: RNAcentral
AGGGAUACUCACGUGGUCGCUUUA